RNAcentral lists this ribosomal RNA (253 nucleotides) under uncultured bacterium. Its description in RNAcentral is "partial 16S ribosomal RNA". It matches the Rfam family "Bacterial small subunit ribosomal RNA", at positions 524 to 776 of the family's 1533-position model. The record is from RNAcentral.
UACGAAGGGGGCUAGCGUUGCUCGGAAUCACUGGGCGUAAAGCGCGCGUAGGCGGAUCGUUAAGUCGGGGGUGAAAUCCUGGAGCUCAACUCCAGAACUGCCUUUGAUAUUGGCGAUCUUGAGUCCGGGAGAGGUGAGUGGAACUCCGAGUGUAGAGGUGAAAUUCGUAGAUAUUCGCAAGAACACCAGUGGCGAAGGCGGCUCACUGGCCCGGUACUGACGCUGAGGUGCGAAAGCGUGGGGAGCAAACAGG